Prionailurus viverrinus (fishing cat) is the source of this 277-nucleotide long non-coding RNA. RefSeq lists it as uncharacterized. NCBI's taxonomy places the organism in Eukaryota, Metazoa, Chordata, Mammalia, Carnivora, Felidae. The transcript has 2 exons. The record is from RefSeq and is a predicted model, not a curated record.
AUUUUCCUUCCUGGGGCUCCACCCUGGCGGCCCCACUUGUUCUUCUUCCUGAUACUGUGGAGAAGCUGGAUUUGGCCUCACGGGAGGAUGGGGCCCUGUGCCCAGAAAAGUGCCAGGGCCUCUAGGACUUCAAGAGGGGAGGACUGGCCACAUCGGAUUCACCUUUGUUCGGCUUGACUCCCGUGCCUGGUACUGUGCUCGGCCAGCAACGAGGAGCAGCUCAGUCUUUGCUAAACGAAGCAGGAUCUUCGCAGUAAAUUUUAUGCCAUGACCAACA